This is a transfer RNA of Ferroglobus placidus DSM 10642, 74 nucleotides long. It matches the Rfam family "tRNA". Rfam says of the family: Transfer RNA (tRNA) molecules are approximately 80 nucleotides in length. Their secondary structure includes four short double-helical elements and three loops (D, anti-codon, and T loops). Further hydrogen bonds mediate the characteristic L-shaped molecular structure. tRNAs have two regions of fundamental functional importance: the anti-codon, which is responsible for specific mRNA codon recognition, and the 3' end, to which the tRNAs corresponding amino acid is attached (by aminoacyl-tRNA synthetases). tRNAs cope with the degeneracy of the genetic code in two manners: having more than one tRNA (with a specific anti-codon) for a particular amino acid; and 'wobble' base-pairing, i.e. permitting non-standard base-pairing at the 3rd anti-codon position. Lineage: Archaea; Methanobacteriati; Methanobacteriota; Archaeoglobi; Archaeoglobales; Archaeoglobaceae. The record is from Rfam.
GGGCUCGUAGCUCAGCCAGGUAGAGCGACGGGCUUUUAACCCGUCGGUCGCGGGUUCAAAUCCCGUCGAGCCCG